UUUGUUAGAAUGGCAGGGAGUCAUUCAUCUCCAGCAUCAGCUGUUAAUGGCCUGUAGGUUUAGUGAAAGAGAGAAGGAAUAAUAGAGCAAGAGGCAGAGAGAGAGAAGAGAGGGAAUGGGGCAGGUGAGGCGCUGGAGGAGUGAGGACACAAUGGAGCUCUCCAGCAAGCAAACUGAUGGGGAAAACUAUGAAGAAUUAUAGUGGCAAUAUUGAGAAAACAAGAAAACACUGAAGGGCAAUGAGUUAAGUAAAUAAGGGAAUGUGGGUGAGAAGAGGGAGGGAGGGAGUACAAUGAGCUCUGAUAAGCAGCCCUAUCCUCCCUGCUCUGGCCAUUCUCAGCGCUCCAGGCUUGGGGAAGGCUCCGGAGAAGCAGGUGGAGCGGCCGAAGAGAGGAUCCUCUGUUCAGGGGGUCACGGGACAACAGGUUUGGAGCAAGAUCUGAUUGUUUGAGGCGCCCCCACCCCCUAUCCUAGCUCAUAUCACCUGUCCUGUGUUUCUCCCUCAGGUCUGCAGAUACCUACAGUGCAGAGUCCUCCUUGCUGUCAGGGGCACAUGCCUGAUUAGCCUCUCUCUGUGACCAGCAGAGAACAGGUUACUGGAGCCCAAGCAGCCAGUAGUUUUGUACAAUUUCCAAUCUGAUAGAAAAGUUGGGCAGUGUGGGUGCGUGGGUGAUCACUUCCACUGUAUGUCAGUAGAGGCAAGAGAAAGAGCCGCACUCGUAUGCAAAGCAAAAGGCACCAAAAGAAUAAACCGUUUCACUGCCAAAGGGACUGGAACAAAGUUCAACUGGAAGAGAAAUGGUUAAAUGUCAAGUAAUGAAACAGUACAAUAAUAGAACUAAAAGCUGGACUAUAUUUGCAACAUAUCAUAACUAUUAUAAAAGUUGAAGUACAUAUUAAACAAGUUUGUAGUGUGCGACGCCACUGAUGGCUUUGUGUAUUUACAUAUAUUUUUUAACGCACAAACACAUAUUUUUGUCACAAUUUUGACGUUAAUAACUAUAAGUCCCAUGUAGAAGGAGUGAAAUGAUUUCCAUGGAAGUGUUGUGUGUUGGAAGUCAAAGAAAUAAAUAUGAACAUACGAACGCUAAGAAAA
This is a long non-coding RNA of Xenopus tropicalis (tropical clawed frog), 1096 nucleotides long. RefSeq lists it as uncharacterized. Lineage: Eukaryota; Metazoa; Chordata; Amphibia; Anura; Pipidae. The record is from RefSeq and is a predicted model, not a curated record. The transcript is spliced from 2 exons.